Molecule: long non-coding RNA, 1110 nt
Filed under: Monodelphis domestica (gray short-tailed opossum)
Lineage: Eukaryota; Metazoa; Chordata; Mammalia; Didelphimorphia; Didelphidae
Description: lncRNA (ENSMODG00000051038.1)
Source: RNAcentral
ACCCUGGGAAGCCUCCUCCUGGACCUGGACCUGGAUCAAAAGGUAAGGCCCCCCUCAAAAGCCAGAACCCGAGAUCACUCGGACCUAAGGGGUAGGAGCUCAGAGUCCAAGGCUCCAGGAAGCCGCGGCCCCUCCCCGCUCAGAGAGCAGGGUAGUCUGAAACAACAGCAACCCUCAGGGCGGGCAAGACAGCCUCACCAGCUGGAUCCUGCUAUCCAAGUCUCAGUGAAAGUCACUGCCCUCGGAGCUCCAGGAAGCCGCGACUCCUUCCCCCACAGAGAGCAGGGUCGUCUGAAACAACAGCAACCCUCAGGGCCGACAAGACAGCCUCACGGCCAGCUAUUCCGAAGGCAACUUCCAGAAAGCAACCCAACCCAGUCCAGUCGAGCGGGCACCUUAGCAGCAGGGAAGCAGAGAGAACCUGGGGAGAGUGUGGCCCCGUGGUCCGACCCUUCCAUUCCAGUUCCAGUGAAAGUCAUUGCCCAUACUCAAUUUAACCCAGGGAAAGCUCAUAGAACCGAUAAUCUGCCCAGGACUAAAGCCUCUGAACACCAGACAGAGAUAAGAAAAGCUAAUCCUCCCCAUUCAGAGAUGGCAAACUCCACAGAAGCACAGAAGCCCCAAAAUCCCAAGAAAAAUAAGAAGAAAGGAGCGACUUUGGACACAUUCUAUGGAACUAAAAUACAAAAUACCGAGGAGAGAGAAGACGAUGCACAAGAAAAUUCUCCAAAACCUUCCAAAGGAAAUGGAAACUCUCCAGAAACACAUGAAGAAUUUGAAUCAGAAAUGACCAAAAAGAUGGAAGCCUUCUGGGAUGAAAAGUGGGAAAUAAUGCAAAAGAAAUUCACACAUCUACAAAACCGGUGUGAUGAAACUGAAAAGGAAAACCAGGCUUUAAAGGCCAGAAUCAGGCAGCUGGAAGACAACGAUCAUGUAAAAGAACAAGAAUUAAUAAAGCAAAGCCAAAAUACCAAGAAAUUAGAAGAGAACAUAAAAUAUCUCACUGACAAGGUGACAGAUCUGGAAAAUAGAGGGAGAAGAGAUAAUUUAAGAAUAAUUGGACUUCCAGAAAAGCCAGAAAUAAACACCAAACUCGACAUCAUGAUACAA